AUGCGCGCAGUCGCGGAACCCGGAAGCGGGGGUGCAGCGCGGCAGAAUGAGGGUUGAUUCCUCGGCUGACCCCACAAUGUCGCAGGAGCAAGGGCCGGGGUCCUCCACGCCUCCCAGUUCUCCGACACUUCUUGACGCUCUUCUCCAGAACCUUUACGACUUUGGAGGUACAGAAGGUGAAACAGAACAGAAGAAGAUCAUAAAGAAAAGGGAAAACAAGAAGAGAGAUCUGGUGGCUUCAGCGGCCUUGGCAGCAGAGCCAUCUCCCCUACCUGGUUCUCUCAUAAGAGGCCAGAGGAAGAGUGCUUCGAGCUUCUUCAAGGAACUUAGAGAAGAGCGGCAUUGUGCUCCUGCUGGGACCCCCACAGGACUAGAGAUCCUUGCUGCUGCAGUUCCUCCCUCUUCCCUAAAGAACAAUAGGGAACAAGUAGAAGUGGUAGAAUUUCACAGCAGAAAUAAAAAAAGAAAAUUGACGCCAGAUCAUAACAAGAGCACAAAGGUAAUGAGUUGGUUAGCUUGUAUAUACGUGGUGAACCCCCUGGUAUUGUAGUAUUAGGUGAAUAGCUCUUUAGACUGUGGCAGGAAUGCCUGACUAUCCUCAGGCCUGCAGAUUUGCCAAAAGGACUCACAGGACCCAAGACUCAGCAUAUAGCCCUUAUCAGUCAUGUAGGCCUACAGACUGAGCUUAGUUAUUCAAGUUCUAAACCUCCAGUGAAAAGCAGGUAUUCAACAUCAAUCACAUUGCUAGUAUAAACUGUCUGGGAAAACUUGGUACAGCAGUGGCUCAAGACCUCAGGUAUGCAAAAACACUCUGAUCAGGCAGAAUAUUCUAAUUGCUCAAUUCUCAGGAGGCAGCCAACUGCCAGUCAUGAAAAUAGGACUUUCUUGGGAAUGUGCAGGGUUUGGUAAACACAGGUCUGCUGAGUUAACUCUUGCAGCAACUCUUUCUGGCAUUCCUGUUAUGUGCUAGCCACAGUUGUAGGCACUGGGAUAUAGCAGUGAACCAAAUGUAUAGAAAUUCUUGCUCUCGAGGAAAAGCAAUGCUGGUGGAAAAGCAAUUUGAUUUUUCUGAGCAGUAAUCUUUUUCAGAGUGAGCUUGUAAAUCUGACCUAAAAUUCAGUCCUCAAGGGAGGUGUGGUUGCUCCUCCAAAUGUUUUUAAUUUUUUUUUUUUUUUUUUUUUGAGACGGAGUCUCGUUCUGUUGCCCAGGCUGGAGUGCAGUGGCACGAUCUUAGCUCAUUGCAAGCUCCACCUCCCAGGUUCACGCCAUUCUUCUUCCUCAGCCUCCCAAGUAACUGGGACUACAGGUGCCUGCCACCACGCCUGGCUAGUUUUUUGUAUUUUUAGUAGAGUCAGGGUUUCACCAUGUUAGCCAGGAUGGUCUUGAUCUCCCGACCUCGUGAUCUGCCCGCCUUGGCCUCCCCAAAUGCUGGGACUACAGGCGUGAGCCACUGCGCCUGGCCCCAAAUGUUUUUAAUUUAUCUAUUCACAAGAAUAUCAUAAUGGCUUUGACAAAUUCAUUGCUAUUCCAUUUCUGUAACAUCCCCCAUGUCCUGCAAACCUUUGUCUAUCAACAAAGAAGUGAGGAUUGAACGUAUUAGUUUCUAAGCCCGCUAUAACAAAUUACCACAAACAUAGUGACUUAAACCAACAGAAAUGUAUUCUCUUACAGUUCCGUAGUCCAGAAGUCCAAAAUCAAAGUGUUGGCAGGGCCAUGCUCCCUCUGAGGGCUUUGGGGGAGAAUCCUUUGCCUCUGACCAGAAGGUAGCUCUAACAGUUUCCUUGGCUUGUGGUUGCAUAACUAUAAUCUCUGCCUCCGUCUUAAUGUGGUUUUCAUCGCUGUGUCCCUGAGUCUCAUGUUUCCCUCUGCCUUCCUCUUUGCUUUAGGCCCACCCUGAAUCUGGGAUGAUCUCCUUUUGAGAUGUUUAAUUACUAUAAAGAUCCCUCUCCAAGUAAGAUCACAUUCACAGGUUCUGAAGAGUAGGACAUGGCCAUAUGUUUUUAGAGGCCACAAUUCUACCCACUACAAAGAUGGUUUGGCUUGCAUUGUUCUUUAUGAAGGUAUAAAUGUAUGUUAGUGUCCAGUGUUUGCCACAUCUUUAUGGUUUUAAAAACCAUCUGUAUAAUCUUUUCUAAAAUUCAGGUAGCAUUUCAUGUCAAGCUUGCUUGCAUCUCUUCCUCAAAGAUCGUUAGCGCAUUCUGCAGGCUGAGCGUGGUGGCUCACGCCAGUAAUCCCAGCACUUUGGGAUGCCGAGGCCAGAGGAUUGCUUGAACUCAGGAAGUCGAGACUGCAGUGGGCUGUGAUUGUGUCACUGCACUCCAGCCUGGGUGACAGAGUGAGACCCCUUCUCCAAAAAAAAAAAAAAAAAAAAAGAUUAUUAGUGAAUCUGUAACCAUGUCUACCUUUAUUUUAGGAUUCUAGAUAAGCUUCUUAACUCUUAUGUUCCAAAUAUAAGGCUCUGGGAACUGUUAUGGGAGGGUCAAGAAAUGGAUUCCCCUGGUGUUUGGGGCAACCAGAGCCCCGAAGCUGGCCAUCUCCCAGUACCCCAGUGUACCCUACAAAUACUGGUAUUUUCUGUAUGUGUCAUGAUAUGAAAAACGUUGGAGAGCACUGCUUUGCAAUAUAAUUCAGCAUUUGAAGACUUCAACUAACAUAAAGCAUUUAGGCACCCUU
Molecule: small RNA, 2673 nt
Filed under: Pan troglodytes (chimpanzee)
Lineage: Eukaryota; Metazoa; Chordata; Mammalia; Primates; Hominidae
Description: processed transcript
Source: RNAcentral